UACAGAGGGGGCAAGCGUUGUUCGGAAUUACUGGGCGUAAAGGGCGCGUAGGCGGAUAGUUUAGUCAGAGGUAAAAGCCCAGGGCUCAACCUUGGAACUGCCUUUGAUACUGGCUACCUUGAGUUCGGGAGAGGUGAGUGGAAUGCCGAGUGUAGAGGUGAAAUUCGUAGAUAUUCGGCGGAACACCAGUGGCGAAGGCGACUCACUGGCCCGAUACUGACGCUGAGGCGCGAAAGCGUGGGGAGCAAACAGG
This 253-nucleotide ribosomal RNA is filed under the name uncultured prokaryote. Its description in RNAcentral is "partial 16S ribosomal RNA". It matches the Rfam family "Bacterial small subunit ribosomal RNA", at positions 524 to 776 of the family's 1533-position model. The record is from RNAcentral.